AAACAAUAACUAGUUUGGGACACCCCGAAAAGGGAAAAAAAAAACCUUAAAGGACAUGCAGACACAGGAACAGACUGUCAUAUGCAAAUUCUGAUCCAGUGAUCAUCACCAAGUUUCUCACGUCCACACAUAUAUAUAAAAAGCAGAUAACGCAUUUUAAUCAUUUUAUAUAAUCAAUGUAAAUACUACUGUAUAAAAUCUCUAUAGAUGAAUUGGGGAGAGGACUCUCUCUCUUCUCUCUCUAAAUUUUUCAGUGAGAGUAAGUCUUCUCCGAUAAUCUACCUUGGCUCCGGCAACGAAUAGCUUUUUCAGUGGUGUUGGUCGGCUUUCUUCUAGCGUUGUUGGCUCCCAUAGCAACGUCGGCUAGCUUUUCUACAGCAUCGGUGGCUUUUAUAGCACCGUUGGCUGGCUUAAUUCCGGCAUCGGUGGCUCCUUAGCACCAUUUGGCGCGGCCCUUGGCUCCGGCAUGCAUCUGCUUUCUAUGGGAUGAUGUCCGGCUUUGUUUCUCCGGCAACAAUGGCUUCUUUAGCAUCGUUUUGGUCGGCUUUCCUCCGGCAGCGGUGGCUACCUUAGCAUCGUUUAGGCCGGCUUUUCUCUGUUUGAUGGAUCGGUGGAGUUUGUUUGGCUUGCAGAUUUAUGAUAUCGAUUCUUCCUUGGAGAUUGGAAAGCUUUUUACUGAAGACGAAGGUGAUGAAACUCUGCCUUGGGGUCAAUUUCUCAGCAAAAUUGGAAUCCGCUGCUUUUUCUGGGUGUAACUUUCCGGCGAUUUCGACCGGAAUCGAAGUUUUCCGGUUAUACUUCCGUCUGCCGGUGAUCGGAGACUCCAUCCUUCGGCUUCCCACGUGUCAACUAACAUGUCCUCUCUUGCCACGUGAUCUGUGAUUCACGAUUUCUUCAGUCUAAAGGAAGAAUUAUAUUUGGGCCUGUGGACUUUUAGUUUUAGUUUGGUUGUAUUGUAGAAUUGUUUUUUGGCUUGUAAAUUUGGCCUGUUUAAUAGGCUUUUCUCAAUAAUAAAGACUUAUCUACAAACAA
Camelina sativa (false flax) is the source of this 1032-nucleotide non-coding RNA. Lineage: Eukaryota; Viridiplantae; Streptophyta; Magnoliopsida; Brassicales; Brassicaceae. The record is from RefSeq and is a predicted model, not a curated record.